This 140-nucleotide ribosomal RNA is filed under the name uncultured bacterium. RNAcentral's name for it is "partial 16S rRNA". It matches the Rfam family "Bacterial small subunit ribosomal RNA", at positions 355 to 510 of the family's 1533-position model. The record is from RNAcentral.
UGGGGAAUUUUCCGCAAUGGGCGAAAGCCUGACGGAGCAAUGCCGCGUGGAGGUGGAAGGCCUACGGGUCGUCAACUUCUUUUCUCGGAGAAGAAACAAUGACGGUAUCUGAAGAAUAAGCAUCGGCUAACUCUGUGCAG